GACGAACGCUGGCGGCGUGCCUAAUACAUGCAAGUGGGACGCAAGGAAACACACUGUGCUUGCACACCGUGUUUUCUUGAGUCGCGAACGGGUGAGUAACGCGUAGGUAACCUGCCUAUUAGCGGGGGAUAACUAUUGGAAACGAUAGCUAAUACCGCAUAAUAUUAAUUAUUGCAUGAUAAUUGAUUGAAAGAUGCAAGCGCAUCACUAGUAGAUGGACCUGCGUUGUAUUAGCUAGUUGGUAAGGUAAGAGCUUACCAAGGCGACGAUACAUAGCCGACCUGAGAGGGUGAUCGGCCACACUGGGACUGAGACACGGCCCAGAAUCCUACGGGAGGCAGCAGUAGGGAAUCUUCGGAAAUGGACGAAAGUCUGACCGAGCAACGCCGCGUGAGUGAAGAAGGUUUUCGGAUCGUAAAGCUCUGUUGUAAGUCAAGAACGUGUGUGAGAGUGGAAAGUUCACACAGUGACGGUAGCUUACCAGAAAGGGACGGCUAACUACGUG
Molecule: ribosomal RNA, 505 nt
Filed under: uncultured bacterium
Lineage: Bacteria
Description: partial 16S ribosomal RNA
Rfam family: Bacterial small subunit ribosomal RNA
Source: RNAcentral